GAGGCAGCAGUAGGGAAUCUUCGUCAAUGGGGGCAACCCUSACCGAGCAACCCCGCGUGAGUGAAGAAGGUUUUCGGAUCGUAAAGMUCUGUUGUAAGUCAAGAACGGGUGUGAGAGUGGAAAGUUCACACUGUGACGGUAGCUUACCAGAAAGGGACGGCUAACUACGUGCCAGCACCCGCGGUAAUAMGUAGGUCCCGAGCGUUGUCCGGAUUUAUUGGGCGUAAAGCGAGCGCAGGCGGUUUGAUAAGUCUGAAGUUAAAGGCUGUGGCUCAACCAUAGUUCGCUUUGGAAACUGUCAAACUUGAGUGCAGAAGGGGAGAUGUGGAAUUCCACUGUGUAGCGGUGAAAUGCGUAGAUAUAUGGAGGAACANCCCGUGGCGAAAGCGGCUCUCUGGUCUG
This 402-nucleotide ribosomal RNA is filed under the name uncultured bacterium. Its description in RNAcentral is "bacterial SSU rRNA". It matches the Rfam family "Bacterial small subunit ribosomal RNA", at positions 345 to 736 of the family's 1533-position model. The record is from RNAcentral.